CGUAGGGUGCAAGCGUUAAUCGGAAUUACUGGGCGUAAAGCGUGCGCAGGCGGUUUUGUAAGACUGUCGUGAAAUCCCCGGGCUCAACCUGGGAAUGGCGAUGGUGACUGCAAGGCUAGAGUUUGGCAGAGGGAGUAGAAUUCCACGUGUAGCAGUGAAAUGCGUAGAUAUGUGGAGGAACACCGAUGGCGAAGGCAGCCCCCUGGGUCAAAACUGACGCUCAUGCACGAAAGCGUGGGGAGCAAACAGGAUUAGAUACCCUGGUAGUCCACGCCCUAAACGAUGUCUACUAGUUGUCGGGUUUUAAUUAACUUGGUAACGCAGCUAACGCGUGAAGUAGACCGCCUGGGGAGUACGGUCGCAAGAUUA
This 369-nucleotide ribosomal RNA is filed under the name uncultured organism. Its description in RNAcentral is "bacterial SSU rRNA". It matches the Rfam family "Bacterial small subunit ribosomal RNA", at positions 526 to 896 of the family's 1533-position model. The record is from RNAcentral.